CUAAAUGAAGAGCUGAAUCCAGGACAGCCUGGAGCGGGGGAACUUCUUUUUCUGGGGUGAAUCGCAUUUUGCGUAGGGCCUAUACCUUUGGUCCGAAUCCGUCAACUAACCUCGUAAGCUAAGAAAGGUGAAAAU
RNAcentral lists this small RNA (135 nucleotides) under Dehalobacter sp. Its description in RNAcentral is "c-di-AMP sequence". It matches the Rfam family "c-di-AMP riboswitch aptamer (ydaO/yuaA leader)". From Rfam's summary of the family: This family represents a conserved RNA structure found upstream of the ydaO and yuaA genes in Bacillus subtilis and related genes in other bacteria. Lineage: Bacteria; Bacillati; Bacillota; Clostridia; Eubacteriales; Desulfitobacteriaceae. The record is from RNAcentral.